This 563-nucleotide ribosomal RNA is filed under the name uncultured bacterium. Its description in RNAcentral is "bacterial SSU rRNA". It matches the Rfam family "Bacterial small subunit ribosomal RNA", at positions 339 to 916 of the family's 1533-position model. The record is from RNAcentral.
CCUCGGGAGGCAGCAGUAGGGAAUAUUGCGCAAUGGGGGCAACCCUGACGCAGCAAUGCCGCGUGAGUGAAGAAGGCCUUCGGGUCGUAAAGCUCUUUAAUGGGGGAAGAUGAUGACGGUACCCCAUGAAUAAGCACCGGCUAACUACGUGCCAGCAGCCGCGGUAAUACGUAGGGUGCGAGCGUUGUUCGGAAUUACUGGGCGUAAAGGGCGUGCAGGCGGAUUGGCAAGCCGGAGGUGAAAGCCCGGGGCUCAACCCCGGAGGGUCUUUCGGAACUGCCAGUCUUGAGAGGGUCAGGGGCCAGCGGAAUUCCUGGUGUAGAGGUGAAAUUCGUAGAGAUCAGGAGGAACACCGGCGGCGAAAGCGGCUGGCUGGGGCCACUCUGACGCUGAGGCGCGAAAGCGUGGGGAGCAAACAGGAUUAGAUACCCUGGUAGUCCACGCCGUAAACGAUGGGCACUAAGCGUCCGACGGGUUCGACCCUGUUGGGUGCUGCAGUUAACGCGUUAAGUGCCCCGCCUGGGGAGUACGGUCGCAAGACUAAAACUCAAAUGAAUUGACGG